RNAcentral lists this long non-coding RNA (2598 nucleotides) under Nicotiana benthamiana. RNAcentral's name for it is "long non-coding RNA (NBEN_LNC025752)". Lineage: Eukaryota; Viridiplantae; Streptophyta; Magnoliopsida; Solanales; Solanaceae. The record is from RNAcentral.
CCACCCCCUAGCCAUUACCCAUUCCGUCUCUAACCUCAGAGACCAACCAAACCCAUCCCUGUGAAACCCUAGCCGCCAUCAAACCCUCUCACCUGAAACCCGGCGGCAACAACGCCGCUGGCCACCAAAUUUAAACCCCUGAAGCACCCUAAUCCCCUCUCUCCAAAUCCACCCUCAUCCUACCUCGAAUCAACCUCGAGUUUCUCGAAUCAUCAUUUGAAGAUUCGAGCAAAAUUGGAACCAAUCCCAAUCGGUCCCAAACUCACACCAUAGCUUUCCCUAGCCUCCCUCAUCACCAAACAAUUAUUAGUUUGGUUCGAAUCAAACCCAAACCACUCGAACCCCAAAUUCGAGCCGAAGAACCCUAGAAAAAUCGAGCCUGGAUUUUGUCCGAAUUGAAUAGUUUUUGGUUGUUCAAUGGACUUUAGCCGAUAUUUUCUCAGUUGAGAACACUCGAUCAAAGUUCGUUUGGCCUCAGAAGUUUGAAAUUCGUUUGGUCCGAGUUCGUCUUUUCCCUAUUCACUUUUGAGGUAUUUAUUUUCCUUUUUCUUCUAUUUCUCUGAUGUUCCUAUGUUUGUUAUUUGUUUAUAUUCAUUAUAUCAAUUUGUUUUCAAUUUUUUGCCAAGUGUUCUUCUUCUUCUGCCAAAGACCUUUUAUUUGGUCAAUUUUAUUCUGUUUGUUGUUGAUUGUGGUCGUUGUAAACUACAUAUUCGACUCAAUUAAUAUCGUCGAAUCGUUAGUUUCAUAAUCCCCUAUUUUGCCCGAAUGCUACGAAUCACACUGUUUUUGGGUCGAUUAUUUGUUAUCGAUUAUAUGUGUUGUAAUCGAUUAGAUAAAUAUCGUCGAUUAGUUGUAUAGGUUUGAUUGUAAGAUUAAUGUUGACAAUAGUAUUAUUGAUACUGUCUGAUUUGGUCCGAAUUAUUGUUUGAAUUAAAGACUGAAUGGUUUACAACAGAAUUUAGGUUUGAAUUGGUUAUAGCCAAACUUAGGAAAUGGAAUCUAGCUACAAUUUUAAUAGAAAUUUUCAGAGUUUAGUCUAAGUGGGCUGUUAGUUGAGCAUGUGUUGGAAGAUUAGAUGACUUUACUAUUGAAAAGUUGAAAUGCACAUGAGAAUGGUAGUGGAACCUGCUGUACAGUAGGACUUUCACUACAUUCUGAUUUCCAGAAGUUUUAAAAUAAGAAGCUCCAUAUCUAGACAAAUUUAAGUGGCAAAAAACAGAGGAAUAAGAUGGAUCUGAUCAAUUUUUAAAUAAGUUGAAAUUUAAAAUAAGAGUUCCAUGCCUAGACAAAUUUAAGUGGGAAAAACAGAGGGGAUAAUCAGUUUUUAAAAGGUUUUCAACAGGCUGUAAGGUGAGUUCAGUUUGGCUAUAUAAGAGGUCUUCCAUAACAGUUUUAAAGAAGUCUUUUGAAAAAUCGGAAAGGUUAAAAGAAUUUUCAGAGAAAUAGAUAGAGAGUGAGGUUUAAAGUUGAACUAAAUUUCCAGAAUUAAAGAGUUAUAUAGGCUGAGUUGUGCUUAAAGGUUUCAGUGGGUUUUCUUUGAGUAUUUACAAUCAGAAACACUGUCAUUGCAUCUGCCUUACUUUUCACUUAACUGUGAGCGCAUUUGGAGUGUUACGGGGUGAUUAGUGUGAUAUAUCUUGGGUUUUCUGCUGGUAUUUAUCUUCUGGAGCUAUUGUUAUCCAUUUGGUGUUGCUAGGCUUUUAUAUUGGGAUUCAAACACUGUUGCAUUGGAUUCUUGGAUUCUUUCUAUUUGGUUUUCAAUCUGCUACUGGUGUUGCUGAAUUUGUUGAUGUGUUCAUUGUGCUACUGCUGCCAUCACUGAUCUUCCUUCUCUUUCUUCGCUUUUUCAAAUACCAGGUACACAUUGCUACACUGGUACACUUGUAGGCUGAACUUGAAGCAUGAAAUAUAAAUGAAAAACUGAAGUUUUACAUUUAUCUUAGUUGUAUUCUGUAUGUAUAUAAUGGAAUCCUUGAAAGUAGUUUAGUGAACAAAUCUCUUAUGUAUGUUAGCUAGAAAAGAACUCAUGAUGCAGUAGCCAUAUCCUUCCCCCUCCAGCCUAUUUCUCUUAUAACCCAUUUGAAAUGUAUAUCAAGUUUUAAGUCAAGUAAUCAGUAGUUUAAACUCGUUAGUAACAAUUUAUUUUUUUAGAUUCAUAAAACAGGUUUCAUUAGCUAUUGACCCCAUUGUUGUCCCAUUGUAAAUCUCGAACAUGUGUAGUAUGAUGUAAUUAGGUCCCAAAAUUAGAGUAAGAUGACCCAGGCCCAGUUUCGCAUCAUUCACGAUGGGACUGGGCCCAAAACUUUUAAAUGGACUGCCCUAUUGUAUCAUUUUCGGAUCUAACGAGUUGUGUUCAACGCCCGCUUAUAAUGAGUUUCAAGCAUGUGAAUAAAUUAGGUAUUUUCUUCUUUUAUUUUAGAGACAGACAAAAUAGAAAACAUAGUCGAUUUAGGAUAUCCCUUAAAAAUAAAAGGAGGCGUGCCUCGCCAAAAUAAAUUACAAAUGCCCCUUAAUAAAUACACAUAAUAAUUGCAUAGUUUUCGGAAUCGUCAAGAAAUAGAAAACAUAGUCGCUUUAGGAUAUCCCUUAAAAAAUAAA